CUCUGUUCCCUUACACCCUGCCUCCCCUGCCCCUCCCCACCUUCUUCUUCCCCUUCAUCUUCCUCCUCUCCGUCCUCGGCAGUUUCUUCUUCUUCCUCCUCGGCUCCGUUCUCCUCUUCCUGCAGGAAGCGGGAGAGGGAGCGGGUCAGGUGGGGUCAGGGGUCUGCGGUCAGGGGGCACGGGGAGGGCCUGAGGGGCGGGGCGGGGGGGGGGGGNGGAGGGCCUGAGGGGCGGGGCGGGGCUGGUGGGCGGGGCCAGAGCCCAGGGCAGGACCCGCCCCCAGGUAAGUGGAAGGGGGAGGAGGGCUCCAGCGCCCGCACCCACCCGCACCCACCCGCACCGGUCCCCUCCACACCUCCACCACUUCUUUCUUUCGCUCUUUCCGGCUUGCCUUCUCCUCCACCUUCUCUUUUUUCUCCUUCAGGUCCUGCAAGAGAGAAAGAGGUCACCUUCCUGGCACCACAAACAAGCUGCAGCUGGCCCGUCACCCCAUCUCCCUCUCUCGCCCCGUUCUCCCUCAGCAGUGAGCCUAGAGGAAUGAAGGAGUUGGCCAGAGGCAGAACGGAGGCCCCAGGGCCCAUAAGGCCACAAAGGGGCUGGGACCAGACACCUUCCCCAAGACUCAAGGGAGGAGCAAAAGUGAUGAAGACAGAGGAAUGGACAGCCGAGAGAACUGCUUCUGAGACCUUGUAGAGGCUUGCCUGUUCCUAGAGUUCCUUUGCUCCUCAGUCCAACUGAGAAUUUCUCCCAGUAGUUGAAUGGGGAAAGCUGGUGCUUCUUACACAUUUUCUGGAGGUGGGGAAAAGGAAGCCAGGUGAGAACAAAGGAGGCAUGAGCCCCCAAGGGAAACCGCGGCUUCUGGUCUGACCUCCUAGAAAUUUCCUUCACUCCCGUGUGGAAGGUGUUCAAUUCUAAUUACUGCCAUCUCAUCUUAAGUGAAUUCUUAUUUAUCUCCAGCUUCCGGAGGAGCUUUUGCAGCUUGCCUAUUUAUCUGAUAAGUGCUAAGGAAGGCCUAGUGAUCCCUGAAGCUAUGGGACAGCAGAAGCCUGAAAGUUGAACCUCCCUGCUCCUCACUGUACUUUUGUAGCCCUGUUCCACUUCCAGUAUAACUUAUUUUCUAUUCCUCAUUUUUCCUUUUUUUUUUUUUUUUUUUUUUAAUCUUUUCAAAACUCAAGUCAGUGGACUUGAGAGUUGAGGGACCCCUAGAGAGAGGUCUAAACCCACCCAAGUUUGAUCCUGUUUGAGUUGGUUGCCUACAGGAAUGUUCCUUAAGAAAGCCUCUUCAUAACACAUCCAUCAGGGGUCACAUUGUACCCAUCGUCACCACAUUCCAUGCACUUUUAAGUAGAGGUGAGCUUUUUUUCAUGCUAAGCUUUCUUUUUGCCCCUUUACCAAGCUUGAACUCUUGGACUUCAACAAACAGGGAGCUCUUCCUUGUGUCAGACACAGUGCUAUGUUACAGAGACAUAGCUGAAAAAGAGAUGAUCCCUGCCCUUAAGGAAUAGAUGGAGACAGCUCAAAGUACAGCCUGAAAAGGGACAUGUAUCUAGCACUCUUUCCACCAGGCAGACAGCACACUGUCUCCACCAUACACUUCUAGAAAGCCUCCAAGAUCUCUCCUGAUUUCGCAAAUCCUUAUCCAUUGUUCCCAACUCCCAACAGCGUCCCUUGGUUCCUCCACCCUUACUGAUUGUCUCCUCUUAUGCCUAAUACCUAGCAAGAUGCCAGGAACCAAAGAAGAAGAGCUCAAUAAAUCAUUGACUUCCUACCUCUGACA
Molecule: long non-coding RNA, 1777 nt
Filed under: Vulpes vulpes (red fox)
Lineage: Eukaryota; Metazoa; Chordata; Mammalia; Carnivora; Canidae
Description: lncRNA (ENSVVUG00000011278.1)
Source: RNAcentral